Small nuclear RNA from Triticum aestivum (bread wheat), 156 nucleotides. RefSeq annotates it as U1 spliceosomal RNA. The transcript has a single exon. The record is from RefSeq and is a predicted model, not a curated record. Lineage: Eukaryota; Viridiplantae; Streptophyta; Magnoliopsida; Poales; Poaceae.
GUAUUUGGCUGGACGGGUUUUAUGGGCGAUUUAGAAGGCUCAUGGCCUAGAACAAUGGUUCACAUUGCACAUAGGGAAUACGUUGAUCUACCAUCUCCUUUGUGGGAGUGAAAAUUAAAAUUUGUGUUAGAGGGAGUACGUGUUCACGCAGCCCCA